UUUCCUGCUCGGCAGCGGGCGGCGCGGGUGCGGCGGCGGGCGGCGGCGCCCGGACCCCGCGGUCUCCGCGCGUCCCCACGACCCUCCUGCGCGCCCGGCGGGGACGGCGGGGCGCCCCGGAGGGCGGCGGGCGGGCGCACGGGAGAUGCGGAGCCGCCGCGGCGGCGGGAUCGGCGCGACCGGACCGGCCCCCCCGAGACUAUAGCCUUCGUUUUCCCUUGGAAAGUUUCAACAUUCUUCCAAGAAGUACCUCCUAAAAGCGUCCACUAAGUAAUUGUUUGUCAUAUAGCAAAGGCAUGGAUGUUGAGCUGUCAGAGUUUCCAUUUAGAGGAAACAGGAACAUAGCUCUCCUAUAUAAACGCGUGUCUCAUCUCUGAGCUCCCAGCAGACCCAGUUCAGAGCUGGAAUUGUUCUUCUUGAAAUCCUGUUCCUGCUGACAGGAAAACAUGGAUUCUCGCAGGCCAGGAUGGUUCCCCAGCAUCGUCCCCGUAGGACAAGAGAGAACGUUCUCAGACCCAUUGGGCCACAGAGUCAGGAAGGAGUCCUGCUACCACAGGGAAGGGUCACGGACCAGCCUCCACUGGAUAUGGCACCUCGCCCCCAGCUGCAGUCCCAUCCACGGGGGACGUCCCUUUGUGAAUCGGGACAUUCAGCCAGCAGGAGACUCGGUGCUUUCUGUUUCAAAAUUGCCAAUCGGGAGUGACUUUUUAAAGACUGCUUAUUGCGAUGCAGAGUUUGCUAUAAACUAUUUAAAAUGUUGGGAAAGGAAAGGUCCCUGUGGAAUUGCUGAACAAAAAUGUGUCACAUAAUGGUUUCUCUGAGUAGCUUCUCUCCUUUUUUUGAAUCGAAAUGAACAUAAUCUAAAACCAGAACUUGGAUUCCUGUUAUUUCAUGAUGGGGACUGAUGGAAUUCUAACAACCUUUAAAAAAUAUGUUGACGGUAUUCAACUGAUUUCAGACAACUCUCCCAAGAUUGAUCUGCUCUCAGAAAUGGUACAGAUUUUGUGUUCAGGUCUUACCUAUAUGUAAAUAUGUUUAAAGCUGCCGUGUUGCUGCUGAGAAGUUAAUUCUUUUUAAAAACGUCACGUUGCUGGAAAUUAUGAUCUGCAAAAGCAGGACUUGAUCUAUUUCCUGUUUGGCCGGAUAACGUCGUAAAUGCCUUAUGCUGAAAACCUAAAUGGCAUUGCUGGUAACUCACGUGCGUUCAUCGUCCUCUUUGGGCCUCAUUGACACCUGGGCGCAGUCUAGGUGUGCGUUCUCACCUCCGCCAUAAAGAUGGGGAGACAGAGACUUGGGCAGGCAUGGAGGGGUGAGAGUACAGUGGGAAGGGGCUCACAGGUCCCCGUGUUCCCUGCACUGAGCCCAGGUUCCUCUCAAACCUCAAAACCAGUCAGGUCUCAUGACCACCUCCAAAGGUAAGGUGCAGACCUGCCGAAAAAAGAAAAAAAAAAACCACCCAACAACGCAUUUUCCAUUACGGAAAAUGUGAUUUUUCUGUUAUGAAAGUAGCAGAGCUCAUUACUAACUAAGAACAUAUCCUGUGGAUUCUGCAAACAGUUUUCUGGUAAAUAAUUAUAUUUGGGAACACUUUCAUGAUCGCCUAAGUCGAUCUUGGCCAGGGUUCCAAACUAUUUCCUCGUGUUAUCUGCUGACCGAAUCCAGUUUUCUAAUCUCUUCCCACACGCUUGCCAGGCUUCCUUUCGGCGUGGCCAGGAGUCUGUCCAUUCACUCGCCCAGCGUUUAUCAGGUGUCUCCUGCAGGCUUCUGACUGUGCCACCAGGUCUUGAAAAAUGCAGCAGGAGAUCCUAUAGUUCUGAUAUCAGGAAAUAUUGCCUGCGGGGUGGAUAUUGGAGCCCUUUCUUUAGCAGUUCUGACUGUGUGUUCUGUGCAGUAGCCUAGAAAAGGAUUGGUCAGAAAUCAAGUUUAGUUGUAGAAAGCUGAAUGACUUGGACGCGUCCCUUCACGCCCUGAGUCACACCUUCUUUGUUUAAAACAUAAAGAGCCCUGUGAGGACUUUUUAAAGGUCCCUUCAUGACAUAAAGUUCUGUGAUCGAGGGCAAUGCUUCUCUGGAUUUUGAGUUAACAGCAGAAAUGCCCCUCAAGUAACCACUGCUGCAUAUCCUCCGUGUUUGGGGGCUGUCACCUUCAUUGCCUUCCCGUCUGAGAUGAAAUUUGUCCAUUGUGAUGUAAAGGUUUUAUGAUCUUUGCUCUGGAAAGGAAGCCGCUGUGUGGGUGCUUGCUCGUCCCUUCUCUCUCUUAUUUGUAUGUGCUCUCCUGCUGCCCCCCCAAAGAAGCAAGAACCUGUAAAAGAGGGUUUUAUUCCUGGAAAACAAUAUUGGAAAAGCAAUCUUCUUCUUUCUGUGAUGGUGCUUACGUAUAUGCGGGAAGUAAAAGCUGGGAAUCCGUGGGUUUUGAUUUUAAAACUUAAGCAGAUACAUUAGUUAACAAAACAAAGGUCCUUUCUCCACUGUUUUGCAAUCCAUCCUGGCAAAGGGUUCUGGGAGCCUGCUAUGGUGUAUUUUACCUGAAGAACUGAUGGACGGGGAAGGUGAAUUGCUUCAUCUCAUCAGAUACCAUGGAAACCCCAGUACCACUCUGCUCCCCUCUUGUGAGAGUCCUCCAAAAACAAUCCCAGCUGCAAAGUGUGUGUUGCUGAGAUGAAGUUGGAGAUCCCGAAAGCACACAACGUGAGCGUGAUCAGGUUCAGAGGCAUCACUCUUUCCAGGAUCUAUUUUUGGCUUCCUUCCAAUGUGAAGCCAACCCGACGUUCUGUUUCCCGCUGUGGGUGGAUUUAUUUAAUUUUUCAUGAGUGAUUCACUACCCAUGGCUGUAUGUUUUCCUCCUGUGCAGCUGAGGAUUAAGUCAUGUUUCCUUUUAAAAAUUAUUUUUGAUAGAAUCUGAGCCAUGUGGCACUCAGAGGGUUUGAGACUAAGGGACACAGUAGUAUCACUAAGACAAGGCGCUUAGCUUCCCCGGGCUCUUACAAAAUGGCAGUGAUGGUGUCACCCUGUGACUGGGAUGUUCUCCCCCAGAGGGGACUGCGUCUUAUCAAACAGCCAAAAACAUCUCUCUCUAUAAAAAUGUUUUUGUAAGUUGUGUGAUUUUUUUAAACAUUUUUUUCACUUUGCAACAAAUCCAUUCCACUUGGAACGCCACAUGGUAGGUAGGAUUCCCUAACAGAAAGCCUAGUAACAGAAUCAGUUUCCAUGCAGGUCCACGCUUUUCCCCCCGAGUGGCCUCUGUCUGCCUGGCUGGGUUCUAGUAACCCCCCUGUGUCCAUCACCUUAAGUGACAGUAGCUCUGGACCGCAGAGCUGUUCUGCUCCCGUCUCAGGCUCAGUCCUUGCCAGACUGUUUCUACUCAGCGGCAUCUCAGCCCUGCUCCUUGAGAUGCAUGAGGAGUGAAGAUCAUCUGUCUUUACCAUGAGGCACUCCCUCCUGGCCCGAGCACAGACCAGGGAUCCUCCAGAGAAGCAGUCCAGGCGCCUGCCCUGCGCCCAGGGCUUCCAGCGUCAGAUCUCCACAGUGCUGCCUGACCAGAUGGGUGAGCACCAGAAUGGCAAAUGCAGGGACCAGAAAGGUCCGGAGGCAGCAGGAGACGGUACAAGUCAGAGAAGAAUAACAAAGGAAGAUGAGGAUGCGGCGGGAGGGCAGGUGGGCAGCUCUGUGGAGUCAGUCCAACCAAACAGCAUGACCAGAAAAGGAGCAGAGGAGGGGCCGGCCUAGGGGUCAGAGGCUCGCCGUCUCUCCCGACUGGCUGAGUGGCUUUAAUCAAGUCGCCCACCUCCUAAGAGCACUGUCUCCUUAAUCGCCCACCUCUGGAAGGCUCCGGCAUUCUUUCCAUCCAAGAUGGGACCCCAGGAGAUAGCAAAAUUCUACUACAACAUUAAUAGCACAAAAAGUCAUCUGUGUUCUGGGUGAGGACACUGGAAAGUGCAAGAGGCCAUGGCUGGGGGGUUGCUUUUCUUUAGGGACGAUCUGCCUUUAACCAACAUCCUAGGUUCAGGCUCAGGGCUUCCCCGAGCUGUUUCCCUGCAAAAGAGACACCCCUUCCUCAGGGUGGCUGCUCCCGGGCCUGGUAAAGCUCAGGAAAACCAGCUUCGCUGAGAGCCAAACUGCAGGCCUGGAGCAGGAACCUCCGAGGCUCCAUCCGUGUGUAGGUGCACCACUGUCAGACCUUCAGCUACCACACCAGACAUCCAGGUACCGCGCCCGAAAUCCACACAGCAUGUCGGAAAUCCAAAUACUGUGCGGGAAACCCAAGGACCUGGUCAGAAAAUCGAGAACUGUAUCUGGGCCUUUGUAAUGAUGGUACAAAUGGGAGUCUUCAUUUUCACCAGACCAUGGUGAGCCCUUUCUGAGAUUCAUUUUAGAGAUUAAAAAAUUUAACUUUUAUUUCAGCUGGGCUGUAACACUCCUUAUAAAAAAAACUGUGUCUGUUGUAUAUAUCACAGUGUCCCUGGCGAAUCUGAAAAAAGUGUUGAAAUCGAC
This is a long non-coding RNA of Aethalodelphis obliquidens (Pacific white-sided dolphin), 4490 nucleotides long. RefSeq lists it as uncharacterized. NCBI's taxonomy places the organism in Eukaryota, Metazoa, Chordata, Mammalia, Artiodactyla, Delphinidae. The transcript has 4 exons. The record is from RefSeq and is a predicted model, not a curated record.